This 198-nucleotide ribosomal RNA is filed under the name uncultured bacterium. RNAcentral's name for it is "partial 16S ribosomal RNA". It matches the Rfam family "Bacterial small subunit ribosomal RNA", at positions 328 to 539 of the family's 1533-position model. The record is from RNAcentral.
ACGCUCGACACCUACGGGAGUCAGCAGUGGGGAAUAUUGCACAAUGGGGGAAACCCUGAUGCAGCGACGCCGCGUGAGUGAAGAAGUAUUUCGGUAUGUAAAGCUCUAUCAGCAGGGAAGAAAAUGACGGUACCUGAGUAAGAAGCCCCGGCUAACUACGUGCCAGCAGCCGCGGUAAUCUGAGCGGGCUGGCAAGGC